This is a non-coding RNA of Schizosaccharomyces pombe (fission yeast), 1250 nucleotides long. Lineage: Eukaryota; Fungi; Ascomycota; Schizosaccharomycetes; Schizosaccharomycetales; Schizosaccharomycetaceae. The record is from the annotation of a GenBank genome assembly.
UUUUCAGGAUUAGCAACAAACAAUUUAAAAACAUGAAAAGCUUCAAAUUGAAUGUUUUUACUCUUAUCUCUCAGCAGAAUCAUCAUUAGUUUCAGAUUCUCAGCAGAACUAAUAUAGCGUGUCAUGACUGAACGGUUAGCACGAUUAAGAAGAAUUUCCCCUAAAAGCUUUAAAGAUUGACGUUUGGUAACAUAAUUUUCAGAUUUCAAAAGGACAGUGUAUUGCUUAAAAAACUCGUCAAAAUGGUAUGAAAUAAACUCAGCAACUUGGGAUUUAUGAUUAAGAAGAAUAGACUGAUUAAAGUUAGUAAAUGCAAAACUAGCGGGAGUAUAUAAAAACAUUGCAACGACAGAAGUUUUAUUUGGGGAUAAUACGUACCUUAAAAGUCGAAAACGCAUCACUCGCCAUAUCAAAACUAGAGGCUUGUAUCAAACUAAAAAAUGUCCAAAAAUCUCGUGAGUUUAAAAGUACCUCAUUAAGGGCUUCAUGACGGGAACACUCACGAAGGAUAGAACCAGCAGUAAAAGCUACUUCCUGGUAUCGAUAGUAUGAGACCAAUACUGGAAAGAUUUGCGGGUGCGCAAGCAUGUAGUCAACAGUGGGAUAUCUCGAUGCUACAUGCCUCCUAAGUAAAGCGCUAAAUAUUAGUCCUGUAUCCUUUUUAGACUCAAACUCCAAUUUCGGUAAAUAUCGAACGAGUAAAAAAGGUAAAUUCGACUGGUAAAUUUGAAAAGAUAAGUCUGAUACGAGAUCAGCAUCAGGCUCUACUUCAGCUGUCCCACACAAUGAAACCCGUAAAUUCUGUAAACAUUUGGAAACUUCCUCAAAGGACUGUUUACGUUAGUCAUCUAAACGAACAAAAACAACAAUUACUAAUAAUUAAUACCUUCUUUUUAUCAUUGUUUAUUUCCAACUUUGGGAGAUUAUCACAUAAGCAGCGAACAACAUCUUGGGUUGAUUUUGGUCGUUUAUUGAACAGAAACGACAUGCGGAAUUAUGGAAUUCGGUUUCUCUAAAAACUUAUGGCAUAUGACAGGGUAAGUAAAGUGGGUGCCAGGCGAUGGUCCACAGUGGGGGUCUAUUUUCAUAUUCAGUUGAAUACUAUUAAGGUACACUUCUUGAGUAUUCAAAUUACCUUUACUUAUACCUGAAGUGAUACCAAUGUGGGGGUUGUUACAUCUCGAUUAUACAUAAGUAAUCAAGUAUUGAAACGCAGGUGCAUUUAGAUGAUAGCAAGUGUACUAAGUAGA